Molecule: long non-coding RNA, 663 nt
Organism: Rhagoletis zephyria (snowberry fruit fly)
Lineage: Eukaryota; Metazoa; Arthropoda; Insecta; Diptera; Tephritidae
Source: RefSeq, a predicted model, not a curated record
AGGCCGAGAAAAUGCUUAGCUAUAGUAAUCAAACGGUACAGUGGGUAUGAGGAAAUAAAUAUUUAGUUUGUGAGGGUCUGCAAUUCACUUGAGCCUUUUAGUUGGGACAAAUUUAUACUUGGCUAUAACAACCACGCCACUAUCUUGAGUUGGCAUGUCGUUAGUUAAAUCAAAUCAUUGUUGAGGAAAAACAGAGAGCCAACUACUUCCGAGAUUGCCAAUUAUAAUUAUAGAUAAUUCAGACAUUCAAUCUAAAAAGGCUUUAAUGGCUAAGGAAUCACCUUUCUCUCCAGUUUCUUUAGAAACUACAAACACUUCAUGUCGUCAAUCACCUAUAACAUUUGAACCCAAUUUCCAGGGACCUAUGGAUCGGUGUAUAAAUAACGCCAGUUCUUUCUCAGGUGGUAGACGGGGGUUCUAAUAUUAAAGGGGCCAUACAAAGUGAAUUUGGCGAAUGAAAACACAAUCAUGUUUCGGACAUGUUAUUCAUAAUAUUGGCCAGCGACUUGUCGAAAUAAAUAUUAUCCCAUCCGUUUGAAUCUGAAAAUAAAAUAAUUGAAAUACCUCAAUAGGUGAAGAUGAUGGUAUUGAUAGCUUUGAUGACCUAAACGUAGAUAACACUAAUGAGCAAUCAACUUUGCGAGGACUGUUGGCAAAAGUCAA